Molecule: ribosomal RNA, 386 nt
Filed under: uncultured bacterium
Lineage: Bacteria
Description: bacterial SSU rRNA
Rfam family: Bacterial small subunit ribosomal RNA
Source: RNAcentral
ACGAACGCUGGCGGCGUGCUUAACACAUGCAAGUCGAGCGGUAAGGCCCUUUCGGGGGUACACGAGCGGCGAACGGGUGAGUAACACGUGGGUGACCUGCCCUCAGCUCUGGGAUAAGCCUGGGAAACCGGGUCUAAUACCGGAUAUGACUCCAUGACGCAUGUUGUGGGGUGGAAAGCCUUGUGCGGCUGAGGAUGGGCCCGCGGCCUAUCAGCUUGUUGGUGGGGUGAUGGCCUACCAAGGCGACGACGGGUAGCCGGCCUGAGAGGGCGACCGGCCACACUGGGACUGAGACACGGCCCAGACUCCUACGGGAGGCAGCAGUGGGGAAUCUUGCGCAAUGGGCGAAAGCCUGACGCAGCGACGCCGCGUGAGGGAUGACGGCC